UGCUUCUACUCUUGUCAGCUUGUUGGUCAGUGUCAGGGCCUGAGGGGCUGGCCCACCUCAUCUACCAUGUUAAGGAUGUAAGUAGCGAUAUCAUCCUCUGUAGGUGCAUCUGAAACCACCCAAGAAUCACCUGCCCCAGUUACUUGGCGACGGCAGACAGGACAGCUCCUGUGACGAUCACUCCAUUUAUCAAUGCACUUCUGGCAGAAACUGUGAGCGCACGGCAAGAUCAAAUCAACACGUCCAUCCAUGCAAAUGCAACAUUCAUCUUCAUCUGUUGGCUGUUUAAGCCUUCCCAUCCACAAGCUGGCCUGGGAUGACGACACAGAUGUCAAACUCUCAGCAGCUUCUUCAGAAGUCUCACUUUGUGCAAGAACCCC
This 380-nucleotide long non-coding RNA is filed under the name Gallus gallus (chicken). The record is from RNAcentral. Lineage: Eukaryota; Metazoa; Chordata; Aves; Galliformes; Phasianidae.